Molecule: small RNA, 28 nt
Filed under: Bombyx mori (domestic silkworm)
Lineage: Eukaryota; Metazoa; Arthropoda; Insecta; Lepidoptera; Bombycidae
Description: ovarian small RNA-24319
Source: RNAcentral
UAUUUCGUAUCACGUACCGCGAUUGUUC